Sesamum indicum (sesame) is the source of this 628-nucleotide non-coding RNA. The record is from RefSeq and is a predicted model, not a curated record. NCBI's taxonomy places the organism in Eukaryota, Viridiplantae, Streptophyta, Magnoliopsida, Lamiales, Pedaliaceae.
AUGAAUCUCUUGAUUCGCUUGAAGAGACUGACGUUCCUUACAUUCACAUCAACGGUGGCGGCUGUUUUUUGUCAACUGAUGAAGACAUUGAACUUGUCCAAAAGGCUUUUCCACAAAAAGCUGGCCAAUUCUUAAAGGAAAAGGAACUCAAAGACAUGAAGAAGUCGCAGAGAAAGAAAUCAAACUUAUCAUCUGAAAGAACACCCGAAAACUCAGAAUCAUCUGCAGCAUCACGAUGCGUGCAGGUAAGUAUUACCGAAUUCUAUCGUUCCUCCAAAGCCGUUUGCCCAAACAAGCUUGAGGAGACUGCGGUAAACAGUUGUGGUUCCUCCAAGACCAAAAGAAAAGAUCCAAGUCCAAGAUUUUCCAAGUCCGUCAGGCGCCGGCUGUUGUUUGAUUAGUUCAGGCUCAGCUAUCUUGAGGCCAUUCAUCAUCUGUAAAUUUGAGUAACAUACAGCUAGUGUUGGUUUCUCUUUUGGCCUUUUUGAUACUCCUUGGAAGUGUAAAUAGCAUCUAUAUGGCAAUCAGCUGUUUAAGCCUGACAAGGUUUUGUUAAUAUUUCUAUUAGUGCUGCUCUUUGUAUGUGUAUGAAAAUUGUUACAUUUGUUAACUUCUUGAGCUGUCUCUA